RNAcentral lists this ribosomal RNA (468 nucleotides) under uncultured bacterium. RNAcentral's name for it is "partial 16S ribosomal RNA". It matches the Rfam family "Bacterial small subunit ribosomal RNA", at positions 28 to 507 of the family's 1533-position model. The record is from RNAcentral.
GACGAACGCUGGCGGCGUGCUUAACACAUGCAAGUCGAACGGAAAGGCCCUGCUUUUGUGGGGUGCUCGAGUGGCGAACGGGUGAGUAACACGUGAGUAACCUGCCCUUUACUUUGGGAUAACUUCAGGAAACUGGGGCUAAUACCGGAUAGGAGCUCCUGCUGCAUGGUGGGGGUUGGAAAGUUUCGGCGGUUGGGGAUGGACUCGCGGCUUAUCAGCUUGUUGGUGGGGUAGUGGCUUACCAAGGCUUUGACGGGUAGCCGGCCUGAGAGGGUGACCGGCCACAUUGGGACUGAGAUACGGCCCAGACUCCUACGGGAGGCAGCAGUGGGGAAUAUUGCGCAAUGGGCGGAAGCCUGAUGCAGCAACGCCGCGUGCGGGAUGACGGCCUUCGGGUUGUAAACCGCUUUCGCCUGUGACGAAGCGUGAGUGACGGUAAUGGGUAAAGAAGCACCGGCUAACUACGUG